GUGGAUGAGGCAUGCAAGUCGAACGAAGUUGUAGCAAUACAGCUUAGUGGCGGAAGGGUUAGUAAUACAUGGGUAACUUGCCUUUAACAGUAGAAUAACGGUUGGAAACGACCGCUAAUACUACAUGUGGUGAAACAGGGCAUCCUGUUUUCAUUAAAGUGGGGGAUCGUAAGACCUUGCGGUUAAAGAGAGGCCCAUGGGAUAUCAGCUAGUUGGUGUGGUAAAAGCGCACCAAGGCUAAGACGUCUAGGCGGAUUGAGAGAUUG
Molecule: ribosomal RNA, 266 nt
Filed under: uncultured Chlamydiales bacterium
Lineage: Bacteria; Pseudomonadati; Chlamydiota; Chlamydiia; Chlamydiales
Description: partial 16S ribosomal RNA
Rfam family: Bacterial small subunit ribosomal RNA
Source: RNAcentral